UCUCCCACUCCAUUUCACAAAUGCAGCACAAUCAAUCUCGCCACUCUGUUCCAUCAGAUUUCUGUAUUUAGUUUCAGUAUCAUACUGUGUGAUGGGACGGGUGAUAUUUAGAUUGGGAAGGUGGGGUAGGCCAAACAAACUCCUUUAUCCACAGGGCCAACUAGCCAGCCAGACAGUCAGCCAGGUUGACAGUCAACCAGGUAGACAGUCAGGGGAAUACCCCCUAUCCACAUGCUGAGUGACUGGCUCCUGUAACAAAGCCUGACAUCUGCCCGGCGACAGGCGACACCUAGUUGCCUGCUAGACAGACACUGGGUGUUUUGUCAGUCCCGCUAAUUAAUGCAGGAAAGUCUAUAGCACCUCUAUUCGGUCCCUGAUUACCAGCUACAGUAGCUAUUUGAUCAAUCAAGCACCACACGAUAGCUCUCUUUCUAAUGGAAAUACAUGUAUUUUAAGCUCCCAAAACCCAGAGAACUGGCAGGAUAUUAGAUAUUUUCGUAUUCCCCCUCUACCCUUUAUUAAAUUAUAAAUUUUUUUGCUCAAUACAAGCCAUUCUGGAUGUAAUGUUUAAUUCAGAAACUGGCAUGAGAGUGUGACAUAUUAUUCUGGGGAGGGUGGCAGGGGAGGAUGCAGGUACUGGAUUAUGCUCAUAUUGAACUCUCCUGAUGAAACCAGCUAAGCCUCAGAAUUAGACACGAGCUACACCACACACGCACCCAUCCACGCACACACACACACACACACACACACACACACACACACACACACACACACACACACGGAGGAACGCAACCUGGAACCCUAACAAAGUAGGAGCUCCAGAUAAGGCUUGUUGGGUGUUAGUGUAGAACAUGCGCCUGCCUGGUGCAUUUCACCAGAAAAGGCUGAUAGCCACCUAGUUGGCUACGCUAAUCCGUCUGGAGACCCAGUAUUUUUAGCUGUGAUAUGAACACAUCGUUACCCUAUUAAAAGCACAUUUAAUAUGCCUUCUAAGUAUGUGUAUGGGCGUGGUUAAUUUGCGCAUGUGUCUGCGUGAGGGUCAUUUGUAUGCAUCUUUGGUAAUGUUUGUGUGUUUGGUAACGUGUGUGUGUGUGCGUGUGUGUAAGGGUUAUCUUGGUACAUGUGUUAGGGAACCAUUAGGGCUAAGCCUGCCUGCAUAUGAGUUUUAGAUUCUAGGAGACUGCAGACUUGACACGCUGCCAGACAUGGAAAGAGGCCUGAUUCACCCCACAGUGUAUUCUGCUUCCGGAUUAGCAAUGUUCACUUUAGAGAAUCGUCCGUGUGUAUGUGAGUGCUAGAGUGUGUGUUUGUACUUGCCACUUUCACAGACCAGAUUUAGGUUGCUCAGAUUUGUGUGUGUGUGUGGGUGUGUGCAGCCCACCCCAUGCUGAUUCCCAGUGCAUUAGGCUAACAUUAUGCUGAAGUUACUUAUCAUAAUGUCCUCCAUAUGCAUGUCUAAGGCCUAUCAUUACAGGAUAUGUGACUCACUCAUCACUCAUCACUUUCCCAGACCCAGGACACAGAGAACAAGGUGCACACAUACAAACACACAUACAUACACACACACACACAGACACACACACACCCAGACACACAGCUGAAUUUCAAAUACCGUUGACAAUACGGUAAGCCUCAUUCAGACUUUGGAAUUCUCGAGUUUUACGAUCUGGGAAUCCCAUAAUCUUAGAAUGUGUUCUGUUCCACAUUCCACGGGUUCUGUCUGCAAAUAGAAUCUUGCAAAAUGUGGACAUGGAAUGUGGAGCACAGCCUGUGUUUUUAAGCCCCUCUCAGAAUACAGUAUAGUCUGAAGGAUACAAUAAUAUCACAACGCCAUCAUUUGUGUUGGACGUCCAGGCUGUCAGUGUAAAUAACCUGGCCCCUCAACUGGUCUGUCUUGUUGGUUGAUAUCAAAAUCUAAUCACUUGAACACUUAAUUGCAUUAUCACAGUUGUGUUCCAUAUGAUGUUUGUGAGACCGGGUAUUGUUUAAUACUUUUAUUACUGAGUGAUGAAAGUGAUGUUCUAACGUGAGGUGUUGGUUGUGUGUAAACUGGGAUUUACAGUAGGCUGUCUAUGUAAGAUAAUUAUGAAAGUGUGUAUUUAUCUACAAGAGUCCCUGUGAAAGAUAAGAUGUUAUUUAUAACUGAUGUAAAUAGCAGUGAAAUGGUCAAUUAACAGACACAUAAAAAGAAGACAAGUUUCUUUCUGGGGCGGCUGUGGCUCAGGGGGUAGAGAGGGUUGUCUGUUAAUCGCAAGGUUGGCGGUUCGAUCCCCGACUCCUCCUAGGUCAUGUGCCGAAGUAUCCUUGAGCAAGACUCUGAACCCCAAGUUGCUCCCGAUUGGCAGGCCGGCGCCUUGCAUGGUAGCUCGCUGCCGUCGGUAUGUGUGAGUGAGAGUAUGAAUGGGUGAAUGAGAGACAAACAUUGUAAAGCGCUUUGAGUGCCGUUAAGGUAGAAAAGCGCUUCUCUUGCCACCUCUCCAUCUCUCCCUCUUUUUCACUCCUUACAUCUCUCCUCGCCCUCCUCACUUUCUCCAUCUCUCCCUUUCUCUCUUUCCCUCUCUCGUUCCCUCCCUCCCCCUGCUCUCCAUCUGUUAUUAAGAUGAAAGAGCGAGUGAGCCGGACUCUGCAGGGCUUUAAAAGCCCUGUGAUCCCUCCUCCAGCAGACACGGAGCACAUUUGAUGUUAUGUUAUUGAGGGUGAUGGUGCUGGGUGCUGGGUGAUGGUGCUGCUUGUUAGGACCAUGUCAGAAUAAUACAGUGCAAUUUUUCUGCCACACAUUUCCCAGCCACGGCCCAUGGACGUUUAUUUUUAAAAACCCUAAAUGGGUCACGUCAUCUCCGUAAAUUCUUGUCCGGCUUCAAAAAUCUAAAGACAACCAAACAAAGCCUUAAAUGUCCUCCUCCCGCUCCUCAUGUUUCUCCUGGUUGUACAUAGUAUAAAUAAAUCAUCGUGCAGCAUCGCUAAUGUAUGUGGACACGUGCAGGCUCUGCGUUCUCUGCCUGCCAAGGGCAGCUUGCUGAAUGAAAACGCAUUGGUGGCUAUUGUUCUUUCUUGUUUCGCUUUUUUUUGUUUUUUUUUACAAUGUUGACAAAAAUGUACCCUACAAUGAUAUUACAAUGGUUCUUGUCAGAGCCGGGCCAGCUGACACUGUUCCGCUCUCUGUCACUGUCAUUUUACCGCGGGUUUAAAUAUGCUGUGGCUCACCGUUGCCGUGGUGUUUUCGUUUGAAAUCUGUCGCCUGGGCUUCUUUCUGUCACAUUAUUUUUGUAUUCUGGUGUUCAUAUUAAAGUGUGAUGGGUUUAUAAAUAUGA
Molecule: long non-coding RNA, 3311 nt
Organism: Osmerus eperlanus (European smelt)
Lineage: Eukaryota; Metazoa; Chordata; Actinopteri; Osmeriformes; Osmeridae
Exons: 2
Source: RefSeq, a predicted model, not a curated record